RNAcentral lists this ribosomal RNA (253 nucleotides) under uncultured bacterium. Its description in RNAcentral is "partial 16S ribosomal RNA". It matches the Rfam family "Bacterial small subunit ribosomal RNA", at positions 524 to 776 of the family's 1533-position model. The record is from RNAcentral.
UACGGAGGGUGCAAGCGUUACUCGGAAUCACUGGGCGUAAAGGGUGCGUAGGCUGGCUUUUAAGUCAGAUGUGAAAUCCAAUGGCUCAACCAUUGAACUGCAUUUGAAACUGAAAGCCUAGAGUUCAGAAGGGGCAGAUGGAAUUAGUGGUGUAGGGGUAAAAUCCGUAGAUAUCACUAGGAAUAUCAAAAGCGAAGGCGAUCUGCUGGGAUGAUACUGACACUGAGGCACGAAAGCGUGGGGAGCAAACAGG